UGAGGAAUAUUGGUCAAUGGGCGGAAGCCUGAACCAGCCAAGUCGCGUGAGGGAAGACGGUCCUAUGGAUUGUAAACCUCUUUUGCCGGGGAGCAAUGCCGCUCUUGCGAGAGCGGAGGGAGAGUACCCGGAGAAAAGCAUCGGCUAACUCCGUGCCAGCAGCCGCGGUAAUACGGAGGAUGCGAGCGUUAUCCGGAUUUAUUGGGUUUAAAGGGUGCGUAGGCGGGCUGUUAAGUCAGCGGUCAAAAUGUCGGGGCUCAACCCCGCCCUGGCCCGUUGCAAGUGCAAUGCUGGGUCGGUUCUGAGUGAGCGAGAAGUAUGCGGAAUGCGUGGUGUAGCGGUGAAAAUGCAUAGAUAUCACGCAGAACUCCGAUUGCGAAGGCAGCAUACCGGCGCUCAACUGACGCUGAGGCACGAAAAGCGUGGGGAUCGAACAGGAUUAGAUACC
This 448-nucleotide ribosomal RNA is filed under the name uncultured bacterium. RNAcentral describes it as "bacterial SSU rRNA". It matches the Rfam family "Bacterial small subunit ribosomal RNA", at positions 355 to 786 of the family's 1533-position model. The record is from RNAcentral.